Molecule: ribosomal RNA, 114 nt
Filed under: uncultured bacterium
Lineage: Bacteria
Description: partial 16S ribosomal RNA
Source: RNAcentral
CCGUGAAUACCGUUCCCGGGUCUUGUACACCACCCGCCCGUCAAGCCAUGAAAGUCGCCAAUACCUGACGUACUAACUUGCUUAGUCCUAAGGGUAGGGGAGAUGAUUGGGGUU